CCUACGGGUGGCAGCAGUGAGGAAUAUUGGUCAAUGGACGGAAGUCUGAACCAGCCAAGUAGCGUGAAGGAUGACUGCCCUACGGGUUGUAAACUUCUUUUAUAAAGGAAUAAAGUGAGGCACGUGUGCCUUUUUGUAUGUACUUUAUGAAUAAGGAUCGGCUAACUCCGUUCCAACAGCCGCGGUAAUACGGAGGAUCCGAGCGUUAUCCGGAUUUAUUGGGUUUAAAGGGAGCGUAGAUGGGUUGUUAAGUCAGUUGUGAAAGUUUGCGGCUCAACCGUAAAAUUGCAAUUGAUACUGGCAGCCUUGAGUACAGUUGAGGUAGGCGGAAUUCGUGGUGUAGCGGUGAAAUGCUUAGAUAUCACGAAGAACUCCGAUUGCGAAGGCAGCCUACUAAACUGCCACUGACAUUGAUGCUCGAAAGUGUGGGUAUCAAACAGGAUUAGAUACCCCAGUAGUC
This 460-nucleotide ribosomal RNA is filed under the name uncultured bacterium. Its description in RNAcentral is "partial 16S ribosomal RNA". It matches the Rfam family "Bacterial small subunit ribosomal RNA", at positions 338 to 795 of the family's 1533-position model. The record is from RNAcentral.